Molecule: long non-coding RNA, 185 nt
Organism: Octopus sinensis (East Asian common octopus)
Lineage: Eukaryota; Metazoa; Mollusca; Cephalopoda; Octopoda; Octopodidae
Exons: 2
Source: RefSeq, a predicted model, not a curated record
GUGUAGAAACUCGUUGGUUAUAUGGAGAAUUGAAGUUGGUGAUGCAUGUUGUAUUUUGUGGGUUAAUGAGAUGUUUUUAACAGAUUUUUGGUGAAUCUGUUUUGUGUUUGUGCACCUUAUUUAUAAUAUAAUGUGAAGCAUCUCUGAAAGCAGAUUCAUUGGAAAAGAGGAUAAACAAGUGUAAA